RNAcentral lists this ribosomal RNA (465 nucleotides) under Vreelandella stevensii. RNAcentral's name for it is "partial 16S ribosomal RNA". It matches the Rfam family "Bacterial small subunit ribosomal RNA", at positions 338 to 795 of the family's 1533-position model. Lineage: Bacteria; Pseudomonadati; Pseudomonadota; Gammaproteobacteria; Oceanospirillales; Halomonadaceae. The record is from RNAcentral.
CCUACGGGCGGCUGCAGUGGGGAAUAUUGGACAAUGGGGGGAACCCUGAUCCAGCCAUGCCGCGUGUGUGAAGAAGGCCCUCGGGUUGUAAAGCACUUUCAGUGAGGAAGAACGCCUGGUGGUUAAUACCCAUCAGGAAAGACAUCACUCACAGAAGAAGCACCGGCUAACUCCGUGCCAGCAGCCGCGGUAAUACGGAGGGUGCGAGCGUUAAUCGGAAUUACUGGGCGUAAAGCGCGCGUAGGUGGCUUGAUAAGCCGGUUGUGAAAGCCCCGGGCUCAACCUGUGAACGGCAUCCGGAACUGUCAAGCUAGAGUGCAGGAGAGGAAGGUAGAAUUCCCGGUGUAGCGGUGAAAUGCGUAGAGAUCGGGAGGAAUACCAGUGGCGAAGGCGGCCUUCUGGACUGACACUGACACUGAGGUGCGAAAGCGUGGGUAGCAAACAGGAUUAGAUACCCGAGUAGUC